Molecule: ribosomal RNA, 648 nt
Filed under: bacterium HZ35-35
Lineage: Bacteria
Description: bacterial SSU rRNA
Rfam family: Bacterial small subunit ribosomal RNA
Source: RNAcentral
CCUACGGGAGGCAGCAGUAGGGAAUCUUCCGCAAUGGACGAAAGUCUGACGGAGCAACGCCGCGUGAGCGAUGAAGGCCUUCGGGUCGUAAAGCUCUGUUGUUAGGGAAGAAUAAGUGCUAGUUGAAUAAGCUGGCACCUUGACGGUACCUAACCAGAAAAGCCACGGCUAACUACGUGCCCAGCAGCCGCGGUAAUACGUAGGUGGCAAGCGUUGUCCGGAAUUAUUGGGCGUAAAGCGCGCGCAGGCGGUUUUCUUAAGUCUGAUGUGAAAGCCCCCGGCUCAACCGGGGAGGGUCAUUGGAAACUGGGAAACUUGAGUGCAGAAGAGAAAGUGGAAUUCCAAGUGUAGCGGUGAAAUGCGUAGAGAUUUGGAGGAACACCAGUGGCGAAGGCGACUUUCUGGUCUGUAACUGACGCUGAGGCGCGAAAGCGUGGGGAGCAAACAGGAUUAGAUACCCUGGUAGUCCACGCUGUAAACGAUGAGUGCUAAGUGUUAGAGGGUUUCCGCCCUUUAGUGCUGAAGUUAACGCAUUAAGCACUCCGCCUGGGGAGUACGGUCGCAAGACUGAAACUCAAAGGAAUUGACGGGGGCCCGCACAAGUGGUGGAGCAUGUGGUUUAAUUCGAAGCAACGCGAAGAACCUUAC